This 4789-nucleotide long non-coding RNA is filed under the name Phoenix dactylifera (date palm). RNAcentral describes it as "long non-coding RNA (PDAC_LNC005771)". The record is from RNAcentral. Lineage: Eukaryota; Viridiplantae; Streptophyta; Magnoliopsida; Arecales; Arecaceae.
CUUCUAAGAGUUUUCUAGUAGAAUAUUACUCUCCAUUCUCCCAAACUCUCUCUCUCAAACCCUUCUUCUUUCUAAGAGGUCUAGCUUGUAAUGCUAAAUUGGUAGGCUGACCCAAAAAUGUCUGUGGGCAAGCAAAGCUUCUAAGUAUCACAUGGUUGCUUGAGAAAUAAUAAGCCGGUGACAUAGGAGAGCCACGAACAAAAGGGUGACUCCAUGAGAAAAAUCUUGCAUCUAAGCCUAGAGGAUAGUCUAGGUUUUCCUUUCAUUUGUAGAUUAAGGCUUUUGCUUCUUUAUUUAUAGCUUAUAGUAGCAGUACCUCUUUUUACUUCUCUUGGUGUCCUUCUGUGCUAACUUUUUUCUAUUUUUUGUUGAAGGUCGAAAAGAACAUUCAAGAAGAAGGAGAAAAGAGGAAAUAAGUGUUGAGAGAUAGAUCUCAAGUCCCUCUCAUAGAUUAGGAUUGAAUGCAUGCUCGAAAUAGACUCUGCAUGCUUUGCUUGGAGAUGCCUUAUUUGUUUCUACCAUGCUUAAUAACAGAUCUUCAUGUCUAGGUUAGUCUAGUAUUUAGCUUCCCUAUAUUACUAUUGUUUAGCUUUAUAGUUGCAUACUUAGUUUACUUGAGACAUUUCAUGCUUAGUUUUGUCGAAAUAUGCCAUGAUACAUAUUCUGCUUAGUUGAUACAUGUCAUAUGAUAUAGGCGUUACAUGCCAUGCUUAGUUUAUACAUUCCUUGCAUACCAUAUUUAGUAGCAUUAUGGCAUUAUCAUGAUAGCUUAGAUUCAUAGCAUAUUUAUAUAGCUAUGCAUAUUUAUGUUUAUAUGUUUAGAGUAGACGAUUACUUGAUAGUCAUGACUUCAUGCUUUAAUUCUUAGUUUACUUGAUUGCUAGCCUUCUUGCUUGUUUGUUUGGACAUUUAAACCUCUAAAAGCAAAACAAAUCAUAGGCUAAUGUAUCAUCCCUUGCAGUCCUAUCUUCUACCCUAAACCCUUGAGAUGAGUAGGCGUACUCUUGUGUUUCCAUAACCAAAGAAUAGCAUUAAAAGCAUCAAACCUUUUUUCCUACCUUAAGAUAAAACCAUGCUCAUAUAGUUUACCACACCCCUAAAGCAUCACUAAGCUCUAGGACAUGCCGAACUUGUAGGUUUUUGCAUAAGAAAAAAAAAGAUCCUCUAUUAACCAACACGAUCAAUAAUCAUGCUGUAUUAGCAAACAAGUCUAGCCCCAUCAUGGUGGGCCCAAGUUAGAAUAGAUUUGGCUUAGCCUUUCUCCCUACAGUAUUUGGUGUGACUAAUAGUCAUGCUAGUUAGCUACAGUACCCACACUGAACAUAGGGUGACUCUGUCAAGCUUGAUCUAUGGCUUGGAUUUGUUGCUUAUUGAUCAAGUGCUCUAUAGGGUCUCAAUUGGGUUGUUUGAUCUAUGAUUGACUAUUAUGAUUGCUCAGGCUUAGCAUGAUUUUUAUAUAUGCUAUAACCAGCAUGACUAUAAGUCACAUUAUUGCUAUUUGUUGAGAUCCAUAUAGAUUUGAAUCAUUCUGGGCCUUUGAGAGCUCCGAUUACCAUUAUGGAAAGAACAAAACUCGAUCUUGAUCCGAUUCUGAGCUUGCUUGGUUCAAAACAUGGAAUCUGAACCAAUUUGCCCUUUAAUCUCCUCUACCAUGGAUCGACAAUCUUUCCUCGCAUAUUUUAAUGCCCGUCUAUUCUACCUUCUACCCAUAUUGACUAUGAUCCAAUGCAAUGAUAUCUCAAUGGUGUGGCUAGUAAUAUAUCCACAAACAUAACCAAUACUCUAGCUUCCAAUGACUAGUCAUAAUUCACACACAAUCUUCCCUAAUCCUAACCAAACCAUCAUCAUUCUCAAUCACAACCUUACACCAAACCCCUUCUGUUACCCUAUCACACAAUUAAUGAUGCAGAGGAAUUAUAGAAAAACCUUGGCUAGCACCUGUACGCCCUAUACGAAACACUUGGAGCUUAUUAUCUUUGCUUUGCAGUAGCUCAUAAACCUAACCAACCUUUCUAUCAAUAUUAAUGCCACAUCAUACUGCUUACUGUGCUCCCAUUCCUUAACCAAUUCAAUGUUCACCAUUUCUCUGAUUACGUCAGCCCCAGUCCAGCCUUUCACAAUUAGUAUUUUCAAUUGCGUGACAAAAUCCAACACCCAAAGGACUAUAAAACAAAAUGAUGAGUUCAUAUCUGCGAGUUGAUAUCCCUUCCCUAAUGCUAUGCUUUUCUUAAAAUUUAAGAUCAUAGAUUUUGAUAUUUAUGAUGGAACCAAAUGCCCUCUCCACAUAUGAGGGCAUGUCAUGGAAACAUGGCUUAGGUCCCGUACCUUUAUGGAUACAGAUAGAGAUAUUAAACAGUUAACAAAUUAGUAUCUAUAUCUGAUUUUAUUGGCUGCACCUAUACUCGUAGCGUGUGAGCCGUCAUUGUACCAAAAAAAAAAGUAGUAUCUAUAUUUGUUCUAAGUGAAUAUGGAUAUGAAUCAAACACUAGGCAUAUCCAUAUUUGUUUGAAUGGAUACGUAUACAAGUUUGUUCUUAGUUUAUAUCCAUAUUUUUCUAUCAUAAUACAGAUAUAAGUUGGAUAUUAUUGCUGUAUAAAUUGAAUUUUUAGUAGAUUCAAUAAUGAAAAGUAACACUAAUUAUAUAUUAAUAUAGGGUGGAGAUAAAAUGCACUAUACAGAUUACAUGCAACAUACAGGUCACUAAGGGUCUAAGGCAUAGUUAUUAAACUCACACAAAGGCCAACCUGGCUAAGGGUUUAGCACAUUGGUCUAAUAGGAUUUAUUCUAAUGUAUUAAAAAUCAAAAAUUAUGUAAAAUAAAACAUAAUAUAAAAAUGUUAAUAUUUUUUAUAAAUUAUUACUUUUUAAUUCUAACAUAAAUGAAAAUAAUCAUAGAUUAUCUACUGGUAGAGAGCUUGUAAGAAAAAUUAUAUAUUAAUUAAGAAUACAUAAAAGUUAUUAAUAUUUUGAAUAGUUUUAAUAAUAAAGCUUUCAAAAUAUCAUAAAGAAUAAAAUAAAAUAUAUUUAUUUUUUAUCAUAGUGAAAAGAAUUUAUUUUUUAGAAAAAAUAAUGAUUGAAAUAUAAAAUAUUACAAUAUACUCAAAUGAUUAUUUAGUUAUCUGAUGCUAGCUAUUGGAUUCUCCGCUGGUAGGAAAACAGUAUGCACGUUUCUAACAGGUUCAUACAAGUGCUUGGGCAUACCGCCAGUAUCACAAAUUGAAAAGAAGAGAGUGUAAAGGGUUGGUACCAUCGGUCCUGAUGUCUUAAACUUCAAGAACAUUCACUACUAUAAUACCGGUUACUCCAAAGAGGAGAUAGGCUGUAGCCGGAGCUAUGAUUCUACUCCUAGAACUACGGAUAAACUAGGUUAAUUAAAAUAAGUAAAUUAAGGAUAAAUGCAAGGAUAAAGAUGAAGAUAAAGAUAAAAUCAAUGAUAGAUGUUUGAUAGGUGAAAAGGUCCUUUCCUCAACGUUACAUCCUACUAUUUAUGCAUAACAUUGUAGAAGUUAUAGUAACUGCUCAUUUUUAGUGUCGACCUACAUUCACUUCCAAUCUCCACUCCUUGGAAACUGCCCUAACCACUCUCUACUCCCCACGUUCUGGAAACUAUAGAUCUUGUACCCUGUCAUGACCCUCCUGCUAGGCCGAAGAAAUUCCAUGGUUCAUCGUAUUUGAUCGAUCUCAAAUUCAUGGCAGUUGAUUUUCAUUCAGCCUAUCCUUGACAACCAUCCAACCUAUCCUAGCCCAUGCUUGUCUGAUUCAGCUUAUGGGGCUUUUUAUGUCCCAUGUUGAACUAUACUCAGGAUUACUUGAUCUAUUUUCCUAGAAGGAAUCAAGAGGGUGUUAAGGCUUUAGCCUCUAAGUUAUCAUCUUAGUUAAUUGAGGAUGGUUGGCUAGAAACCUCUCCAUCAUUAUCUCAUCCCGGCCUUGCCAGGUAGUUAGAUAUGCUUGCACCCUUUGGAUGUCAUCAUUAGGAAAAAUAUGCCAUAAACACUUGAGUUCAUAUGAAUAAAUAAAAUAAACAACUCAUAUUAGAUUGAGAUUGAUGUUGUAGCCUGAUGGUUGAGGUUUCGUAUUCAAACAUAAUUAUCUGGUUCAAAUUGGUGGUUAUAUAGUUCAUUCCAGAGAACUUUUCUAAAUUUGGAUGAGGAUUCGAUUGGAUUUCAGAAUUGCUAUCCGAAUCCAAUACAGAUAUGGAAACAUAUGUGGUCAGUUUUUAUCAUACCCAUUAUCGGCCCUAGUCUGGCCAGAUUCAAAUUCAAUCAAGUUUGAGUUGCAUUUGAGUCUUUAAAAAUUAAAUCUAAAUUUGCUGAAGUACAUUUUGGUGGCCUUAAUUUUGUUCAAUUUGCUCUCCUUACCUCAUACAUUGGGAUUUUAAGUGGAGCUUGCAUCCAAUUAAAACGUUUUGUUUGUCUUUGAUGACAAAGUUGAGCCAAAUUUUCGUUGUUGUUGAUCUCACCACACUGAUCAUCUCAUUGAUCACAUACAAUCAUACUUCCAAAUUCUACAUGUAAAAUGGUAAUGAUGCUCUCUCCAACACGAAGAUGGUGAUGGAAAAGGAGAAACAAAUUACGUUAUGACAUUGGAACCGGGUGCACCGCUUAAUCACUCGUAAUUGUGGCAGGCACCAUCCUAUCGCAGCGACAUACAAUGUGGAAACAAAGUCAAUCCAAGAGGGCCAGACAUGAAGUUGCUUCUGAUCUCAACUUUAGGAGGCUCAUUCGAGCUUUUGAGCUUUGAAUCGAAGAGGACUUUGUAUUCAUCAUCUGGUUUAAAGAAUAAAAAGUGAG